Molecule: long non-coding RNA, 996 nt
Filed under: Salvia miltiorrhiza (redroot sage)
Lineage: Eukaryota; Viridiplantae; Streptophyta; Magnoliopsida; Lamiales; Lamiaceae
Description: long non-coding RNA (SMIL_LNC004920)
Source: RNAcentral
AAUAGAAAACUAAAAAUGCAUAUAUUAAUAAUAAAAAUCCAUACAUUCAUUCAAACAUUAUUAAUCCAAUAUUACAUUCAAACAAAUUUCAUCCAACAUCACAAAUUUCAUCGAACAUUUGAAUCUUCAUUCAAACAUUAUUAAUCCAAUAUUACAUUCAAACAAAUUUAAUCCAACAUCACAAAUUUCAUCCAACAUUUGAACUUAUUAUUCAUCAAACUAGAAUAUGGUGAAGAACGUCCCUCUAACGCAGGAGAUCAACGAGAACAUAUCCAAGGACACCUUCAUGUAUUCCGGUCUCUCCUCCGAUUGCUCCACCAUCCGCGACUCGAUCACUUCUAGUAGCCGCUGCAUUAACAAGAACAGCUUUGUAAGCUUGGUAUUAAAAAAUGCAGCAGAAAAUAAGAAAAAGGAUUGAAGAAAAGAGAACACUCUAUCAAGCAUUCUGUCGAACAUCUAGCGGGCAAACUACACAAGCGAUUUCUCAAAGCUAUAAAGAAGAUGAAUCGCCAAGAAUAUAACACCAAAAGCUACCAGCAGAAGAAAAUCAGGAGAAGAAUGAUUAGGAUGCAGAUUUUCGUCUGAGUUUGAAAGGAAAAUAUGAGCUUUAACACCCUUUUAUAAUAGUAGUCUCCGGCGCCUUAUCGCAGUACCUCGGCACCUCCACCUCUCCGCGCGGCUUCCUCCACUUCAACCACCCCAAGGCCACCAGAUCUGUGCUGCUCUCUUUCCCUACGCCGCUGAUUUGAGUGCGGAUCUGGGUGUGUGCGUUGGGUGUGAGAAGAGAGAAAGUGAUAGAAAGAAAAGGGAGAGGAGGGAGAAGAUGGCGGUUGGCCGCGAUGGAGCUGCCGGGCUCCGGCGAUGGAGCAAAGUGGCUGGGCGGCGGGACCUAGGGCUGAGAGAGAGGGAUGAAAUCUGAGAGAGAGAUAGUGAGAUGGGAGGGGAGGGGGCGCGGCGCAGAUAAGGGGAAUAGUGAGAGAGAGAUAUAUUAUUACC